UUCAACAAGGGAUCGCCAGAAAGGGAUCACCAAAGAAUCAAUCCAAGGGUAACCUAGAGCCAGAGCCAAGCCAGAGCCAGAGGGAUCAACACCAAUCAACCAGAACUUCCGGACGCAAAGUCAGAGGAGCACCUCGACGGAAGGCCCCACCCAAACACCGCAACCAAAAAAGACGAAAAUUCCCAAAAUGGACAUAAUCAAGAUAUUACCAUUAACGACCCUUCUAUUGAUGACCCAGGGCCUAGCAACCGAAUAUAAAGUAACUCCAAUUCCUUCAUCCUCAGGAAUCAUAUUUCAUAACUUAGGCUUAGCAAAAAUAUCUAAUGAACA
Coccinella septempunctata (seven-spotted ladybird) is the source of this 330-nucleotide long non-coding RNA. RefSeq lists it as uncharacterized. The transcript has 2 exons. The record is from RefSeq and is a predicted model, not a curated record. NCBI's taxonomy places the organism in Eukaryota, Metazoa, Arthropoda, Insecta, Coleoptera, Coccinellidae.